GACGGAGGGUGCUAGCGUUGUUCGGAAUUACUGGGCGUAAAGCGCACGUAGGCGGCUUUGUAAGUUAGAGGUGAAAGCCCGGGGCUCAACUCCGGAAUUGCCUUUAAGACUGCAUCGCUAGAAUUGUGGAGAGGUAAGUGGAAUUCCGAGUGUAGAGGUGAAAUUCGUAGAUAUUCGGAAGAACACCAGUGGCGAAGGCGACUUACUGGACACAUAUUGACGCUGAGGUGCGAAAGCGUGGGGAGCAAACAGG
This 253-nucleotide ribosomal RNA is filed under the name uncultured bacterium. Its description in RNAcentral is "partial 16S ribosomal RNA". It matches the Rfam family "Bacterial small subunit ribosomal RNA", at positions 524 to 776 of the family's 1533-position model. The record is from RNAcentral.